Long non-coding RNA from Astatotilapia calliptera (eastern happy), 2988 nucleotides. The record is from Ensembl. NCBI's taxonomy places the organism in Eukaryota, Metazoa, Chordata, Actinopteri, Cichliformes, Cichlidae.
UAAAGGGAAAGAUCUCCCUCUGCUGCACAGGAAGGAGAAACACAUGUGAACGACUGGAGCAGAGCAUAAAUGAUCUCAGGAGGAGGCUUUGGGGAGAUUCACCAUCCCAACAAUCAGAAAGCAUAAAAGAAGAGUGGGACCAAAAGGAGUAUUUUCACAGACUCUGAAGUGAAAUGAUGAUUUAAAAUCAGCAGCAGGUUUGUAAUCAUGAAGGAGUCUGACAGAGAAAUCCAAAGGUGCAAUCCAAAAACAAUAAAAAUAAUAGAUUGCAUUUAUCAAGACCCUCAAAGCGCUUUAUAAUUGCACUAUUCAUUCACACACUGGUGGAGCCAACAGACUGACAGAAGCGAGGCUGCCCUAUCGCGCCAUCGGCCCCUCUGGCCAACACCAGUAGGUGGUAGGUGAAGUGUCUUGCCUAAGCACACAACAACCAAGACUGUCCGAGCCGGGGCUCGAACCAGCAUCCUUCCGAUUAUAAGACGGACUGCUAACUCUUGAGCCACGAUCGCCCCAAAUCAUAUUCAUUAUGAGAACCACAGCUACACACCACCAUAAUUCCUCUAUAAUUCGUCGUCAGCGUCUGUAAUGAAUACUGUCAGUCACUCUCAUGAUUGUUGCCUGGCUCAAUCGGCCUCUAAAAUGCGAUACGGAUAACUCAGGAACACUGAGAGGAGGAAUCUGUGUCUGUGACCACCACUUUCUACAUCAGACCAUAACAUCAGCCAGCUUUUCCUGCCUUCAGGUCUGCAGUGCAAAGUAGUAAAUCUCUCUCUAAGAUGGCCAGGGUCUAUCUGAUAACUGCAAGGAGGAGCUAAGUGGCUGCUUCCUGUUCACAGACUGGAAUAUUUUCCACUGAGAUAAUAAUACUGAUGCAAUACAGAGCCAGUUCAGUUCAAUUCAGUUUUAUUUAUACAGCGCCAAAUCACAAAAACAUUCACCUCAAGGUACUUUAUAUUGUAAGGUAGACCCUACAAUAAUACAUAAAGAGAAAAACCCAACAAUCAUAUGACCCCCUAUGAGCAAGCACUUUGGCCACAGUGGGAAGGAAAAACUCCCUUUUAACAGGAAGAAACCUCCAACAGAACCAGGCUCAGGGAGGGGCGGGGCCAUCUGCUGUGAUUGGUUGAGGAGGAGAACAGGAUAAAGACAAGCUGUGUAAGAGAGACAGAGAUUAAUAACAAGUAUGGUUCAGUGCAGAGAGAUCUAUUAACACAUAGUGAGUGAAGAAGAAACACCCAGUGCACCAUGGGAAUCCCCCAGCAGUCUACAACCAACACUGAAUCCUCCCUUAGCUGUAAUAGGUGUAGUUGUGGCUGUCCUCUUUAGCAUCUACAUGGAUGUUAAAAUCACCCACAAUAAUGAUUUUGUCUGAGCUCAGAACUAAAUCACAUAUAAAGUCUGAGAAAUCAGACAGAAACUCUGUGUAAGGCCCAGGUGGACGAUAGAUGAUAACAAGUAAGACUGGUUUCUGAGUUUUACAGCUGGGGUCGACAAGGCUAUGUAUCAGGCUUACAAAGAAUUAAAAGUCUGUCUGGGUCUUUGGUUGAUUGAUAACCAAAGACCACUGAGUCCACAGAUGUCAAGCUCAGAAGGAGAGAGUUCCAGAGUCUGGGGGCAACUGUGGCAAAAACUCUGGGUCCCAAUACAGGAUCUUGUGGUACACCAUAGCUCUCACGUCUGUGUAAACAAAGUCUUGUAAAAAGUCUCCCAACAGACCCUUCAGUUCACAUACAGAACCAACCGAUCUACAGAGGAUGCUAUCUCCACCAUAGUCCACGUUAUGCUGCCACACCUGGAGAGGAAAAACACCUAUGUCAGAAGUCUUUUCAUCAACUUUAGCUCAGCUUUUAACACGAUCAUUGGUUGAAAAGCUGAUGCUAUUAGGUGUGGAACCGGCAACCUGCAACUGGGUUUUCAGCUUCUUGACAAAGCGGCAACAGACAGUCAAGGUGGGCAGCCAAACAUUAAAGACCGUCUUAGAGAGCACAGGCUCUCCUCAGGGGUGUGUCCUGAGCCCGCUGCUGUUCAGCCUGCUUACACAUGACUGUACGGCCACAUUCAACACUAACCACAUUGUGAAGUUUGCCAACGACACAACUGUGAUUGGUCUCAUCACUGACAACGACGAGUCUGCCUAUAGAAUGGACGUGGAGCAGCUUGGAGUGUGGUGCAGAUCCCACAAUCUCAUCAUCAACGUGGACAAAAUAAAAGAGAUGGUGAUCGAUUUCAGGAAGGCUGGCAGAGAUCACCACCAAGACCUCACCAUAGAUGAUGCUGCUGUGAAGAGGGUCAGCAGUGUUACGUUCCUGGGUGUACACCUUGCUGAUGACCUGUCCUUCUCCAUUAACACCACAGCAGUUAUCAAAAAAGCACAAAAGCGUCUCCACUCCCUCAGGAGACUCAGAAAAACAGGACUCUCCACACUUCACCUCACAAAUUUCUACAGAGGCACCAUUGAAAACAUCCCGACACAAAGUUUUACAGCAUGGUUUGGCAGCUGCAAGUCCUACAAGAAGUGUCAACUUAAUAGGAUUGUUAAGACUGCCAGGAGGAUUGCUGGUGCCCCUCUCUCAUCACUGGAGGAGAUCUACAAACAGCACUGCAUACGCAGAGCUAUCUCCAUCAUCAGAGACCCCCACCACCCCUCUCAUGACCUGUUCUCACUCCUGCCGUCUUACAGGUGGUACAGGAGCAUCAGCUGCAGAACCUCCAGGAUGCUGGUUCUUUGUGAGACUGAUAAAUGGACUGUGCCCCCUCUCCACCUACACAGCCAUUCACACAGCUACACUGUAUAAUCAACAAGCGGACUUUGUUGCCCCUAUCUACACACACACACACACACACACACACACACACACACACACACACACACACACACACACACACACACACACACACACACAUACAAUACACUCCACACUACCUAAUUUAACCAUCCCCUUCCGUGACAGGACUGCUGCUAUCUACCCGAAUGAAUGUGACAUGAGU